This 575-nucleotide ribosomal RNA is filed under the name uncultured bacterium. RNAcentral describes it as "partial 16S ribosomal RNA". It matches the Rfam family "Bacterial small subunit ribosomal RNA", at positions 355 to 920 of the family's 1533-position model. The record is from RNAcentral.
UGGGGAAUAUUGCACAAUGGGCGCAAGCCUGAUGCAGCCAUGCCGCGUGUGUGAAGAAGGCCUUCGGGUUGUAAAGCACUUUCAGCGAGGAGGAAGGUGGUGGACUUAAUACGUUCAUCAAUUGACGUUACUCGCAGAAGAAGCACCGGCUAACUCCGUGCCAGCAGCCGCGGUAAUACGGAGGGUGCAAGCGUUAAUCGGAAUUACUGGGCGUAAAGCGCACGCAGGCGGUUUGUUAAGUCAGAUGUGAAAUCCCCGGGCUCAACCUGGGAACUGCAUUUGAAACUGGCAAGCUAGAGUCUCGUAGAGGGGGGUAGAAUUCCAGGUGUAGCGGUGAAAUGCGUAGAGAUCUGGAGGAAUACCGGUGGCGAAGGCGGCCCCCUGGACGAAGACUGACGCUCAGGUGCGAAAGCGUGGGGAGCAAACAGGAUUAGAUACCCCUGGUAGUCCACGCUGUAAACGAUGUCGAUUUUGGAGGUUGUGCCCUUGAGGCGUGGCUUCCGGAGCUAACGCGUUAAAUCGACCGCCUGGGGAGUACGGCCGCAAGGUUAAAACUCAAAUGAAUUGACGGGGUC